AAGUUAGAGUAAAUGUAGGGGUAGAGUAAAAGUAAAGGUAGUAGAGUAAAGGUAGUAGAGUAAAGGUAGUAGAGUAGAGGUAGUAGAGUAAAGGUAGUAAAGGUAGUAGAGUAAAGGUAGUAAAGGUAGUAGAGUAAAGGUGUUAGAGUAAAGUUAAAGUUAGAGUAAAGUUAGAGUAAAGUUAGAGUAAAGUUAGAGUAAAGUUAGAGUAAAGUUAGAGUAAGAACAUAAAGUUAGAAUAAAGUUAAAGUUAGAGUAAAU
Molecule: long non-coding RNA, 261 nt
Organism: Cygnus atratus (black swan)
Lineage: Eukaryota; Metazoa; Chordata; Aves; Anseriformes; Anatidae
Exons: 3
Source: RefSeq, a predicted model, not a curated record